GGCCGUGUCCCAGAAUCUGCCGAAGAUGAGGAGGUAAGCUCACAGGGAAAUGCUCGGAUCUGGCUUGGGAGCGUUGCUGUCUCCCUACGCCUGGGAAGGCAGUGAAAAAGGAGACCGGUAAAAUUCUCUCAGGCCGUCGUACGUUAACUCGCGGAGAACUUUAGACGCUCCACGUAUCAGCAUGGUAAAUUUAUUAUUCAGAGAGUUUUG
RNAcentral lists this long non-coding RNA (210 nucleotides) under Phoenix dactylifera (date palm). RNAcentral's name for it is "long non-coding RNA (PDAC_LNC001309)". Lineage: Eukaryota; Viridiplantae; Streptophyta; Magnoliopsida; Arecales; Arecaceae. The record is from RNAcentral.